ACGAACGCUGGCGGCGUGCUUAACACAUGCAAGUUGAACGGUGAAGCGCCUUCCUUUUUGGUGGGUGUGGAUGAGUGGCGAACGGGUGAGUAACACGUGAGUAACCUGCCCCCUUCUUCUGGAUAACCGCAUGAAAGUGUGGCUAAUACGGGAUAUUCUGGGUCUGUCGCAUGAUGGGUCCGGGAAAGAUAUUGUUUCGGUGGGGGAUGGGCUCGCGGCCUAUCAGCUUGUUGGUGGGGUGAUGGCCUACCAAGGCGGUGACGGGUAGCCGGCCUGAGAGGGUGGACGGUCACACUGGGACUGAGACACGGCCCAGACUCCUACGGGAGGCAGCAGUGGGGAAUAUUGCACAAUGGGCGCAAGCCUGAUGCAGCGACGCCGCGUGAGGGAUGGAGGCCUUCGGGUUGUGAACCUCUUUCGCCAGUGAAGCAGGCCUGCCUCGUUUGUGGGUGGGUUGACGGUAGCUGGAUAAGAAGCGCCGGCUAACUACGUG
This 493-nucleotide ribosomal RNA is filed under the name uncultured bacterium. RNAcentral describes it as "partial 16S ribosomal RNA". It matches the Rfam family "Bacterial small subunit ribosomal RNA", at positions 29 to 507 of the family's 1533-position model. The record is from RNAcentral.